Molecule: long non-coding RNA, 762 nt
Filed under: Numida meleagris (helmeted guineafowl)
Lineage: Eukaryota; Metazoa; Chordata; Aves; Galliformes; Numididae
Description: lncRNA (ENSNMEG00000011143.1)
Source: RNAcentral
GAGAAGAGGAGCAGUGGCUGCUGUCACUGGGGGUUCCUGGCCCAAACAGAGCGUGUCCAGCCCUGCUGCUUUCUUGGUCACAGACAGCUGCCUUGGUGAGGACCAUGGGCCCUGAAGGAAUUGGCUUCAGUCUCAAGCCUGUUUGAGUCAAUCGGUGAUAUCUCGCACCCACUUGAUCCUACAACAAGAUGGCAAAGAGCAUCUUCAACAGUCUGCUGCAGGAGGAGCUGAAUAUUUGAAAUAUUUGAUCUGAGAGAAGGACUUCUCAUUGUUUCCAUGCUGAGUUUCAGCCCAUACUGUGCUCACGACAAACCUAAAACUUUUGGGCAGGAACCUUGGAACAUCCAACAGAAGGGGCAUUCUAUCAAGCAUCUCCCUUCCAAGAAAUACAUUAACCUGCAUGGACUGCAGCAUGUUGAAGCUGUCUGCUUUCUUUGCUCCACUCCUUUUUCACAAGACCAGGGCCAGAAUCCCCUGCAAAUGCUGGGGAUCGAUUAGCCAUCUUUGAUGAGGCAGUUGAAAUUUCUGUCACUGCUAUUCCUUCCUCUCUUUGCAGCUUGAGGAAGUGAGAUUAUUAUGGAUGUUUUUCAAACAGUGUCUGGAAGUAACUGUCUCAGGCAGAGAAGGAUACUCUGUAGAGGUUCCUUUUUUCUUUGCAAGUUCAGCUCAUGUUUCGGGACCGUGGGGCAGGAGGUAAAGUAGCAUGUGCUAUUUACAGGCAACAAUUACACCAGUGUUAAGGGCAAACUGAGAAUAAUUUUG